CCCUUAGAUGUUCUGGGCUGCACGCGCGCUACACUGACGAAGUCAGCGAGCAUGUCCUACGCCGACAGGUGCGGGGAAUCUUGUCAAACUUCGUCGUGAUGGGGAUUGAUUUUUGAAAUUCUUGAUCAUAAACGAGGAAUUCCUAGUAAGCACAAGUCAGCAGCUUGCGUUGAUUACGUCCCUGCCCUUUGUACACACCGCCCGUCGCUACUACCGAUUGAAUGGUUUAGUGAGAUCUUCGGAUUGGCGCCACUGCAGCUCAGCAAUGGGCUUGGUGGAUGCCGAAAAGUUGAUCAAACUUGAUCAUUUAGAGGAAGUAAAAGUCGUAACA
Molecule: ribosomal RNA, 331 nt
Filed under: uncultured eukaryote
Lineage: Eukaryota
Description: partial 18S ribosomal RNA
Rfam family: Eukaryotic small subunit ribosomal RNA
Source: RNAcentral